RNAcentral lists this transfer RNA (76 nucleotides) under Candidatus Dadabacteria bacterium. Its description in RNAcentral is "tRNA-Asn". It matches the Rfam family "tRNA". From Rfam's summary of the family: Transfer RNA (tRNA) molecules are approximately 80 nucleotides in length. Their secondary structure includes four short double-helical elements and three loops (D, anti-codon, and T loops). The record is from RNAcentral. Lineage: Bacteria; Pseudomonadati; Thermodesulfobacteriota; Candidatus Dadabacteria. RNAcentral also lists the same sequence under 2 other names.
UCCGGUGUAGCUCAGUUGGCAGAGCAGAUGACUGUUAAUCAUCGGGUCGCAGGUUCGAGUCCUGCCGCCGGAGCCA